Molecule: ribosomal RNA, 450 nt
Filed under: uncultured bacterium
Lineage: Bacteria
Description: partial 16S ribosomal RNA
Rfam family: Bacterial small subunit ribosomal RNA
Source: RNAcentral
GUGGGGAAUUUUGGACAAUGGGCGCAAGCCUGAUCCAGCAAUGCCGCGUGCAGGAAGAAGGCCUUCGGGUUGUAAACUGCUUUUGUACGGAACGAAACGGUCCGGGUUAAUACCCUGGGCUAAUGACGGUACCGUAAGAAUAAGCACCGGCUAACUACGUGCCAGCAGCCGCGGUAAUACGUAGGGUGCAAGCGUUAAUCGGAAUUACUGGGCGUAAAGCGUGCGCAGGCGGUUUUGUAAGACAGGCGUGAAAUCCCCGGGCUCAACCUGGGAAUUGCGCUUGUGACUGCAAGGCUGGAGUGCGGCAGAGGGGGAUGGAAUUCCGCGUGUAGCAGUGAAAUGCGUAGAUAUGUGGAGGAACACCGAUGGCGAAGGCAAUCCCCUGGGCCUGCACUGACGCUCAUGCACGAAAGCGUGGGGAGCAAACAGGAUUAGAUACCCUGGUAGUCC